GGCUCGGUGGCGGAUGGUCCGCGUCUGCGUAGUAUAGCUCUGUUGCAGAAUUGGAUUGUUCCGCGGAAUUCACCCGUUCGAUUCGGGUCCGAGCCA
Mycena rosella is the source of this 96-nucleotide non-coding RNA. The record is from the annotation of a GenBank genome assembly. NCBI's taxonomy places the organism in Eukaryota, Fungi, Basidiomycota, Agaricomycetes, Agaricales, Mycenaceae.